AGUGCUUGGAUUUUUCUUGGCUACACACUGUUAUGACACUAACUGAUCUUUCAGCAAUAAUCAUCUAAAAUAAUUUUUACAUGACUGAUGGGUUCUGUUAAAGAGAACCCAUCAGCCAUGAUAUAAUUGAUAAGCAAUCAUAAACAACUGUCCAUUGUAUUGAUACAGUUAAUCAGCAAUCUUAGAGAUACCGAUUAAAAUUCUUAGGUUAGCAUAUCAUCUAAAUCAAUUGACAGAUUCACCACAAGUCUACAACUGCUUAAAAACUGCAAACACAAAGUACAUUCAGUUGUGUUAUCCCCAAUUAAAAUUAACACUGGAGGCACUGCAUUUCAAAUAAAGUGAUAUCGAAGAUUGGGUAGUUAAAAAUUACACCAUAAUUACAAUAAUGUUGUCUAUAAAAAAGAUAUUCGAUUUUGUUAAUUGCAAUGCAGAAUCUAGGAAUUUUUGCGAAGGUGAGAAAAUUUUAAAUGCAAAACAAGACACUUUAUGUGGUACACAUGAUCCAAAUCUAAAUUUUUGGUCUGUAUAUGCUCUUGCUUUAAAGGCAUCUGCAUUAUCAUCACCUCCAUAUACAAUAAAUGGUAUUGUGGAUAAGAAGACUUUUUAAAUAUUAAAAAGUUUACAUGCAGUUGUCCAGCAGGAGCAUCUGAAUGCUG
RNAcentral lists this long non-coding RNA (659 nucleotides) under Androctonus crassicauda. The record is from RNAcentral. Lineage: Eukaryota; Metazoa; Arthropoda; Arachnida; Scorpiones; Buthidae.